This 111-nucleotide ribosomal RNA is filed under the name Cercospora musigena. Its description in RNAcentral is "partial 28S ribosomal RNA". The record is from RNAcentral. Lineage: Eukaryota; Fungi; Ascomycota; Dothideomycetes; Mycosphaerellales; Mycosphaerellaceae. RNAcentral also lists the same sequence under 2 other names.
GUUGUGAUUUCAUUAAUCGCUUCGGAGCGCGGGCGGUCGCGGCCGUUAAAUCUUUUAUAAGGUUGACCUCGGAUCAGGUAGGGAUACCCGCUGAACUUAAGCAUAUCAAUA